RNAcentral lists this ribosomal RNA (253 nucleotides) under uncultured bacterium. Its description in RNAcentral is "partial 16S ribosomal RNA". It matches the Rfam family "Bacterial small subunit ribosomal RNA", at positions 524 to 776 of the family's 1533-position model. The record is from RNAcentral.
UACGUAGGGGGCUAGCGUUGUCCGGAAUCAUUGGGCGUAAAGAGCGUGUAGGCGGUCCGGUAAGUCCGCUGUGAAAGUCGGGGGCUCAACCCUCGAAUGCCGGUGGAUACUGUCGGGCUAGAGUGCGGAAGAGGCGAGUGGAAUUCCUGGUGUAGCGGUGGAAUGCGCAGAUAUCAGGAGGAACACCAAUAGCGAAGGCAGCUCGCUGGGACGGUACUGACGCUAAGGCGCGAAAGCGUGGGGAGCGAACAGG